AUUGAACGCUGGCGGAAUGCUUUACACAUGCAAGUCGAACGGCAGCACGGACUUCGGUCUGGUGGCGAGUGGCGAACGGGUGAGUAAUGUAUCGGAACGUGCCCAGUCGUGGGGGAUAACGUAGUGAAAAUUACGCUAAUACCGCAUACGAUCUAUGGAUGAAAGCGGGGGAUCGCAAGACCUCGCGCGAUUGGAGCGGCCGAUAUCAGAUUAGGUAGUUGGUGGGGUAAAGGCCCACCAAGCCAACGAUCGGUAGCUGGUCUGAGAGGACGACAGCCACACUGGAACUGAGACACGGUCCAGACUCCUACGGGAGGCAGCAGUGGGGAAUUUUGGACGAUGGGCGAAAGCCUGAUCCAGCCAUUCCGCGUGCAGGAUGAAGGCCCUCGGGUUGUAAACUGCUUUUGUACAGAACGAAAAGGUUUCUACUAAUACUAGGAGCUCAUGACGGUACUGUAAGAAUAAGCACCGGCUAACUACGUGCCAGCCGCCGCCGUAA
RNAcentral lists this ribosomal RNA (499 nucleotides) under uncultured bacterium. RNAcentral describes it as "partial 16S ribosomal RNA". It matches the Rfam family "Bacterial small subunit ribosomal RNA", at positions 30 to 523 of the family's 1533-position model. The record is from RNAcentral.